This 416-nucleotide RNase P RNA is filed under the name Streptomyces gardneri. RNAcentral's name for it is "RNase P RNA component class A". It matches the Rfam family "Bacterial RNase P class A". Rfam says of the family: Ribonuclease P (RNase P) is a ubiquitous endoribonuclease, found in archaea, bacteria and eukarya as well as chloroplasts and mitochondria. Its best characterised activity is the generation of mature 5'-ends of tRNAs by cleaving the 5'-leader elements of precursor-tRNAs. Cellular RNase Ps are ribonucleoproteins. Lineage: Bacteria; Bacillati; Actinomycetota; Actinomycetes; Kitasatosporales; Streptomycetaceae. The record is from RNAcentral.
CGAGUUGGUCGGGCGGCCGCGGCGCUGGGAACGGGCACGGUUGUGCCGCCGCCCGGUGCCGAGGAAAGUCCGGACUCCACAGAGCAGGGCGGUUGCUAACGGCAACCCGGGGUGACCCGCGGGAAAGUGCCACAGAAAACAGACCGCCCACGGCCUCGCGGCCGUGCGGUGAGGGUGAAACGGUGCGGUAAGAGCGCACCAGCGCCCCGGGUGACCGGGGCGGCUAGGUAAACCCCGCCCGGAGCAAGGUCGAAGGUCGCACCGCUCGCGGUGCGGCUGCGCAGGUGUUCGAGGGCUGCUCGCCCGAGCCUGCGGGUGGACCGCUCGAGGCACCCGGCGACGGAGUGCCCAGAUGGAUGGCCGCCCCCCGGCCACACGGCCGGGGACAGGAUCCGGCUUACAGACCGACUCGUCCG